Non-coding RNA from Acanthosepion pharaonis, 102 nucleotides. NCBI's taxonomy places the organism in Eukaryota, Metazoa, Mollusca, Cephalopoda, Sepiida, Sepiidae. The record is from the annotation of a GenBank genome assembly.
UUACGGUCAUACCCCGUUGAAACACCGGUUAUCGUCCGAUCACCGAAGUUAAGCAAUGUUGAACCUAGAUGGGUGACCGCUAGGUAAAACCAUGUGCUGUAA